UAAAUAAUCUAAUUGAGCCUAUAAAAAGAAUGCUUAGUGAGAGUUGAAAUUAUUUGUUUUAGAUGAUCAAAACAUCUAGUUUUGAUGCUCUAGGUUUUAGAUUCUCUCUAUAGCAUAAGUCAUUUUUUAAGCUUCAAUAUUCUCUUCGCUUCUUCUUCUUCUCUUUGUAUCUAUCUCAUGUGUUGAGAAUGUCCCACUCUAGUCUAGGUGAUUCUAAUGAUACUUUGGAAGGUUAUGAAAAAAUUUGAAGAUCGGUUCAGUUUUUUGGUGAUACACUGCGACAGAAAGGAUUCAAGGAUUAUGAAAACUGAAAGGAGGACUAAUACAUUCAGUUGCAUAUAAUAGAAGCUCACUGGAGAAAACUUCCUUAAGUGGAAGUAGAAUAUCAACAUAGUAUUGAUUGGUGACAACACCAAGUUCGUCAUGAUUGAAGAAUCCCCAAAAGUUCUAGCUGAAGGAGCUCCUAAGUCUGUAAGAGAUAAAUAUGAGCGUUGGCAGAUGACUAAUAACAAGGCACGACACUACAUAUUGACUAGUGUGGUCGACACUCUCAAGACAAAGAUGGAGACUAUCGAGAUGACAUACGAAAUCAUGGAUCAACUCCAAGACAUGUUCGAGAAAAAGUCUGUGCAGACUCAUUUUGAGUUCACCAAGAAAUAUGCAGACUCGUGCAGAAGAUGGUUGGGACACUCUGAUUUGGAGCUAUACUUCCUCUAGUGAAUACACAGUUAAAUCUGGCUAUCACUUAGCGGCUUCUAGACGGACAGAUAGAGCUUCAAAGAAUGUUACUAAUAGGAGACCCCUUCUCUUAACAAGUUUAAGUUGAAUGUGGAUGCAACUGUUUCUCAUGGAAACUGAAAGAUGGGCAUUGGAGCUGUUGUGAGAGACUCAAAUAGAAAAGUUGUUGCAGAAUGCGCCAUUUGAUUACCAGGACACUAUCAUUCAAUGAUCAUUGAGGCAAUGGCUUUAAUUGCAACUCUAAAAUGGUGCUCAACAGUACAUCUCCCUAUUUCUACUGCUGAAACAGAUUGUAAAUCUAUAGUCGAUAAAUUGCAUACAUUUUCUUUUGAUGGUUUAGUCUUAGAUGUACUUAAGGAUAUUCAUAACUCAUUGUCAUCUUUCCCUAAUUUAGCCUUGUCAUAUGUUUCUAGGAAUGCUAAUGUAUUAGCUCACAAUAUAGCUCAAAAAGCUACAAGACUUGACAAUAAGUUAGUAUGGAACGGUUGUUUGCCUUCCAUAUUGUAAACUUUGUACUUCUGGUUGACGUUUAUCUUAUACCAAAAAAAAUUAAG
Molecule: long non-coding RNA, 1292 nt
Organism: Humulus lupulus (European hop)
Lineage: Eukaryota; Viridiplantae; Streptophyta; Magnoliopsida; Rosales; Cannabaceae
Exons: 4
Source: RefSeq, a predicted model, not a curated record